RNAcentral lists this ribosomal RNA (483 nucleotides) under uncultured bacterium. RNAcentral's name for it is "partial 16S ribosomal RNA". It matches the Rfam family "Bacterial small subunit ribosomal RNA", at positions 30 to 506 of the family's 1533-position model. The record is from RNAcentral.
AUUGAACGCUGGCGGCAGGCCUAACACAUGCAAGUCGAGCGGAUGGAGGGAGCUUGCUCCUGGAUUCAGCGGCGGACGGGUGAGUAAUGCCUAGGAAUCUGCCUGGUAGUGGGGGAUAACGUCCGGAAACGGGCGCUAAUACCGCAUACGUCCUGAGGGAGAAAGUGGGGGAUCUUCGGACCUCACGCUAUCUGAUGAGCCUAGGUCGGAUUAGCUAGUUGGUGGGGUAAAGGCCUACCAAGGCGACGAUCCGUAACUGGUCUGAGAGGAUGAUCAGUCACACUGGAACUGAGACACGGUCCAGACUCCUACGGGAGGCAGCAGUGGGGAAUAUUGGACAAUGGGCGAAAGCCUGAUCCAGCCAUGCCGCGUGUGUGAAGAAGGUCUUCGGAUUGUAAAGCACUUUAAGUUGGGAGGAAGGGCAGUAAGUUAAUACCUUGCUGUUUUGACGUUACCAACAGAAUAAGCACCGGCUAACUUCGU